GUUAAAACACCAGUUCUCAUUCAAUCUCCAAAGUUAAGCAACCUUGAGCUUGGUCAUUACCGAGAUGGGUGACCACUUGGGAAUACCAGAUGCUGUAA
Non-coding RNA from Acanthosepion pharaonis, 98 nucleotides. The record is from the annotation of a GenBank genome assembly. NCBI's taxonomy places the organism in Eukaryota, Metazoa, Mollusca, Cephalopoda, Sepiida, Sepiidae.